AAACUUUACAAUGCGGGAAACCGCGAUAAGGGGACACUGAGUGCCAGCAUAUUAUGUUGGCUGUCCACAUGUAUAAAAAUCAUGUGUUAGCAAGGGCCGGGCAAGACCGGUGCCAGCCGCCGCGGUAACACCGGCGGCCCGAGUGGUGAUCACUUUUAUUGGGUCUAAAGGGUCCGUAGCCGGUUUGAUCAGUCUUCUGGGAAAUCUGACAGCUCAACUGUUAGGCUUUCAGGGGAUACUGUUAGACUUGGGACCGGGAGAGGUAAGAGGUACUACAGGGGUAGGAGUGAAAUCUUGUAAUCCCUGUGGGACCACCAGUGGCGAAGGCGUCUUACCAGAACGGGUCCGACGGUGAGGGACGAAAGCUGGGGGCACGAACCGGAUUAGAUACCCGGGUAGUCCCAGCCGUAAACGAUGCUCGCUAGGUGUCAGGGACGGUGCGACCGUUUCUGGUGCCGUAGGAAGCCGUGAAGCGAGCCACCUGGAAGUACGCCGACAAGGC
RNAcentral lists this ribosomal RNA (502 nucleotides) under uncultured euryarchaeote. RNAcentral's name for it is "bacterial SSU rRNA". It matches the Rfam family "Archaeal small subunit ribosomal RNA", at positions 345 to 850 of the family's 1478-position model. The record is from RNAcentral. Lineage: Archaea; Methanobacteriati; Methanobacteriota.